Molecule: long non-coding RNA, 469 nt
Filed under: Bos taurus (domestic cattle)
Lineage: Eukaryota; Metazoa; Chordata; Mammalia; Artiodactyla; Bovidae
Description: long non-coding RNA NONBTAT025286
Source: RNAcentral
GGGUAGGUAGAAAUGAAGACCGAAAAGAGACACCUAAAUCAAACUGAAAGAAAUUUUCCACAGAAACAAUCGUAGUUAAUGUUCUAAAAUAUAGGCUGUGUUUCAGAAGCACAGAAGGCUUUUAGAAGCAGAACAGGCCAUGUUGUGAAUAAUCUUAAUAAACAACGAUCACAAAAAUUAUUCUCAUUUCCUAAUGCUUUUUCCUUUUCUAGUUGUUAUUAGAUCUUUAAAAUAGCUAACUUCUUCACCUGGCAAAAGUCCAUAUUAAGCAUGCUCUAAAGUCCAUAUUAAACAUGUAGCAUAACAACUAGCAGUCAAUAAAUAUUAGUGAUAUGAAUGUUGAACCUUAUCUGAGAUCAAGUCUCCUUCCCCUAUAUGUAGAGUUAAUGAAAUGGUGGAAAUGGCUAGAAAAAUAAUUAUCUCAAUUUGGACACCUGAUUCAUAUUAAUACAUUUUAAGGAACAGACAC